Amphimedon queenslandica is the source of this 543-nucleotide long non-coding RNA. RefSeq lists it as uncharacterized. The transcript has 3 exons. The record is from RefSeq and is a predicted model, not a curated record. Lineage: Eukaryota; Metazoa; Porifera; Demospongiae; Haplosclerida; Niphatidae.
CUCUCUCCCUCUCCCUCUCUCCUGGUCCUAAUGUACCAGCUCCUCUCCUGUUGCUCCUGUUUCUAUUAAUGCAUGUAUAGUUUUAGCCUUCAGGAGAUGAGGGAUUUAUUGAUGUGCUUUCUAUUUGUCUUUGAAGAUUUGAAUAUCAAUGUUCUCAUCCAGUGGUGGCAGGAUUGUGUUGAUGCUCCUGUUCCUUUAUCAAGGACCUACUCUCUCCAAUAGGGUCACCAGUGGGAGGGGCUGGGGGUGGAGCUUACAAUGGUAGCAAUGAAAUAUCAGCUUUCUUUGAUGUCCUCGAAUCUUGUGCCCACAUUUUUGAGUAUAUUGGAAGAAUAGAAAUGGUAAGCUAUAGGGCUGGGAUGAAGCUUCCAAAGGUUUAAAGUUACAUGUAGUUUCCAUUAAUCAUCAAUCACACAUGUGUAUGUACAUGUACAUGGGUAUUGCGAUAUUUUUUCAAAUGGCUGUAACGCAGAAAGUUUUACUCGGAAUCAGCUCAAACUUGCUACACAGCACAAGGAUGUCAAUAUGUAUUAGAAAAUGUAA